RNAcentral lists this ribosomal RNA (253 nucleotides) under uncultured bacterium. Its description in RNAcentral is "partial 16S ribosomal RNA". It matches the Rfam family "Bacterial small subunit ribosomal RNA", at positions 524 to 776 of the family's 1533-position model. The record is from RNAcentral.
UACGGAGGAUCCAAGCGUUAUCCGGAUUCAUUGGGUUUAAAGGGUGCGUAGGCGGAAUGAUAAGUCAGUGGUGAAAUCCUUCAGCUUAACUGGAGAACUGCCAUUGAUACUGUCAAUCUUGAGUACAUUUGAUGUGGGCGGAAUGUGUCAUGUAGCGGUGAAAUGCUUAGAUAUGACACAGAACACCGAUUGCGAAGGCAGCUCACAAAACUGUAACUGACGCUGAGGCACGAAAGCGUGGAUAUCAAACAGG